This 508-nucleotide ribosomal RNA is filed under the name uncultured bacterium. Its description in RNAcentral is "partial 16S ribosomal RNA". The record is from RNAcentral.
GGAGUUAGCCGGUGCUUCUUCUGUGAGUGAUGUCCUUCCUGCCGGUUAUUGACCCGCAGGCCUUCUUCCUCACUGAAAGUGCUUUACAACCCGAAGGCCUUCUUCACACACGCGGCAUGGCUGGAUCAGGGUUGCCCCCAUUGUCCAAUAUUCCCCACUGCUGCCUCCCGUAGGAGUCUGGGCCGUGUCUCAGUCCCAGUGUGGCUGAUCAUCCUCUCAGACCAGCUACGGAUCGUCGCCUUGGUGAGCCGUUACCUCACCAACCAGCUAAUCCGACAUAGGCUCAUCCGAUAGCGCGAGGCCCGAAGGUCCCCCGCUUUCCCCCGUAGGGCGUAUGCGGUAUUAGCCUGGGUUUCCCCAGGUUAUCCCCCACUACCCGGGCAGAUUCCUAUGCAUUACUCACCCGUCCGCCGCUCGCCACCAGGGAGCAAGCUCCCCGUGCUGCCGCUCGACUUGCAUGUGUUAGGCCUGCCGCCAGCGUUCAAUCUGAGCCAGGAUCAAACUCUGA